GAUUUAAUUAUUCCCUCCGUUUCAUAAUAUAAGAUAUUUGACUUUUUUGCUUGUAACAUUUGAGCAUUCGUCUUAUUCAAAGAAUUAUGGAAAUAUCAUUUAUUUUGCUUGUGACUUACUCUAUUAUCAAAAUAACUUUAAACGUGACUUGUUAUUUUUUAUAUUUGUACUAAAUUUUUAAAUAAGACGAAUGGUCAAACGUUGUAAUAAAAAAGUCAAACAUCUGAAUCAGAGGCAGUAUUUUCUUAAGACCAAUCUGCAAUGGUUAUCAUCAACAUACUUGUCGUCGCAGCUGGAGUUGUCGCUGCAUGCAACAAUGCAAGAUAGGCAGCUGUCGCCGAUGUGGCAUUCUCGCCAAGGUGGAUCAACAAGACAACAACGUCGCAAAAUUUCUUAAUUAGAUGACAAGCUUUUGUAAAACAAAAUGCACCACGGAGUUUUGCUUCUUCGUCCUGCACAAAAUUCAAACCAAGUUGCUUGUCAAUUCAAAGUAUUGUUUCGAUCAAAAAUGCUAUAUAUUAUUUCAAAUAUGUUACUAACCAUAUGAUCAUUUUUUGGAGUCUCAAAAACUGGAUUUGAAAUGAUUACUUACUGAGAUCUGAUUCUGGUAGCAGAUGCAUUCCUGAUGCCUGUCAGUUCUAGUUACUAUAGAACAGUUACAUUGUCUAGCUUCAUGUGGUUUAAUUUUGCAUGGACAAAUAAUUUACAGAUUGUAAACCACAGAGCAGCAAAGCAAGUUCACAGUAGUUUUUUUUUUCUUAUUGCCCUGCU
Molecule: long non-coding RNA, 771 nt
Filed under: Oryza brachyantha (malo sina)
Lineage: Eukaryota; Viridiplantae; Streptophyta; Magnoliopsida; Poales; Poaceae
Description: long non-coding RNA (OBRA_LNC002989)
Source: RNAcentral